GAGAUUGAGAGAGGUUUUGACACUUGUGCCAUUGGAGUUCCGGUGAGCAGAGAGUGACUGAGGAUGCUAUAGUCCAGGAGAUUUCACUAUCAAGGACUAAUAUUGGUGAAUUGGCAAAACAAUUGGUAAUAAUAAAUUAUAAAAAGGUUAAUGCGGUAGGGGCACAUGGUGAAACCUCUAAAGUUCAUGAGUAUGAGAUAGCGGAGAAGAAAACAUAUUUGGAUUG
This 226-nucleotide long non-coding RNA is filed under the name Capsicum annuum. Its description in RNAcentral is "long non-coding RNA (CANN_LNC020247)". The record is from RNAcentral. Lineage: Eukaryota; Viridiplantae; Streptophyta; Magnoliopsida; Solanales; Solanaceae.